This is a long non-coding RNA of Gopherus flavomarginatus (Mexican gopher tortoise), 341 nucleotides long. RefSeq lists it as uncharacterized. The transcript has 3 exons. NCBI's taxonomy places the organism in Eukaryota, Metazoa, Chordata, Testudines, Testudinidae. The record is from RefSeq and is a predicted model, not a curated record.
ACUCUCGAUAACAAUGAGCAGCUGGCCGACCGUAGACACAAAUAGCAACAAGAAUUAUCACUUCAAAUAUCAACAUGAAAGCAAAGAAGGUUUUGUCCCCACCAAAUCUCCAGACAAACCGUAGUGUCUCAAACCACAGGAGGUUGUAGCCAAAACCUGAAAACGGCACCACGCUUUCCACAGAUAUUACAGACAGUUUCAUACACAGGACAACAUAUUUAAUACACUUUGUCCUACUCCUGAAAAGCACCAUGUACUACAUCAUCAUACUCUUCUUCAUAUACAGGAUGCAAAGUCCAAUCAAGCACCGGGGAAAAAAACCUUAAACUUCUCCUUACACC